CCUCAUCAGAGUUGGGAGGCAGUGCCAGCUCUUAAGGAAGAUGCUGUGAUGUGACUGUCACCUUGAUAGAAUCUUCAUUCAUCCAGAAGACCAGGGUUCCAGACUGA
Molecule: long non-coding RNA, 107 nt
Organism: Mus musculus (house mouse)
Lineage: Eukaryota; Metazoa; Chordata; Mammalia; Rodentia; Muridae
Product: predicted gene, 39095
Exons: 3
Source: RefSeq, a predicted model, not a curated record